RNAcentral lists this ribosomal RNA (255 nucleotides) under Proteus mirabilis. RNAcentral describes it as "partial 23S ribosomal RNA". It matches the Rfam family "Bacterial large subunit ribosomal RNA", at positions 1089 to 1343 of the family's 2925-position model. The record is from RNAcentral. Lineage: Bacteria; Pseudomonadati; Pseudomonadota; Gammaproteobacteria; Enterobacterales; Morganellaceae.
ACAGCCAGGAUGUUGGCUUAGAAGCAGCCAUCAUUUAAAGAAAGCGUAAUAGCUCACUGGUCGAGUCGGCCCGCGCGGAAGAUGUAACGGGGCUAAACCAUGCACCGAAGCUGCGGCAGCGACACAAUGUGUUGUUGGGUAGGGGAGCGUUCUGUAAGCCUGCGAAGGUGUACUGUGAGGUAUGCUGGAGGUAUCAGAAGUGCGAAUGCUGACAUAAGUAACGAUAAUGCGGGUGAAAAACCCGCACGCCGGAAG